AGUAGGUAAAAAUUAAACGGAAAAUAAUUACCAUCUUCUUUCUUGGCAUCUUUGUUUUUAGCGGGCUUUGGGGGGGGUCUCAAGACUUUUCAAACAUCCAGAGAAGCUAUAUAUGCAUAACAGUGUAAUGUCUCAUUUACUAAAAUUAUUUGCAUUAUGAAUGAUGUUGUUUAGUGAGUGGACAGUAUUAACAACAUUUUAAUAUUAUGUAAAAAUCCUUUUUCUACAGGGCAAAAGAUGAAGAAGAGUCUGUGGCUCAUGCAACCUUCCUGAAAAUCGAUUAUGUGAAGUAUCCACAGAGGGGUAAGGAUUGUGACAGGACAGAGAGGUUUGCAGUGUAGGUCUGGCUUUAUACCCUUACUUAAGAAGACAUCUUCUGGGUCCUCAAGGAUUGGAAGGAACCUAGUUAGCCGCAUAGUAAAAUCUGUACUUUGUGGCCACCAGAAGUUUGACAGCAAGUGCAUCUCAUCUUGGCAUUCUUUCCCCAUGAACCUGGUCCCACCUUGGUUCCUGGUACUGCCACCAGACUGGAGUCAUUGAAAGGUAACAAUCAGUUAUAAUGACUCUUUGGAAUCCUCCCUAAGAGGAACAGCUGGGUCUUUUCACAUUUUGUCUUUAUGCCCAAUUAACCUCUAACUACAGCCCUACUGGGUUGUUAUUUAAAAAAAAAUCCUUAGCUAGUGUGCAGAGAUUGAAGGUAUCAGCUCAGAAAUUCCCUCUUUAUGCC
This 727-nucleotide long non-coding RNA is filed under the name Callithrix jacchus (white-tufted-ear marmoset). Its description in RNAcentral is "lncRNA (ENSCJAG00000057369.2)". Lineage: Eukaryota; Metazoa; Chordata; Mammalia; Primates; Cebidae. The record is from RNAcentral.